Molecule: ribosomal RNA, 602 nt
Filed under: Eniclases apertus
Lineage: Eukaryota; Metazoa; Arthropoda; Insecta; Coleoptera; Lycidae
Description: partial 16S ribosomal RNA
Rfam family: Bacterial large subunit ribosomal RNA
Source: RNAcentral
CAUGUCCUUUUGAAUAUAAUUUAAGGUCUAAUCUGCUCAAUGAAAUUUAAAUAGCCGCAGUAUUUUGACUGUGCGAAGGUAGCAUAAUAAUUAGUCUCUUGAUUAGGGGCUGGUAUGAAUGAUUGGACAAGAAAAUUACUGUCUCUUUUUCAAAUUUUUUGAAUUUUAUUUUUAAGUGAAAAAGCUUAAAUUUUUAUAAAAGACGAGAAGACCCUAUAGAGUUUAAUAUUUUUAAGCGAAUUUGAUAUUAGAAUUUGAUUUUGUUUAAGUUUAUUUGGUUGGGGUGAUUUGGAGAUAUGACAAAUUCUUUAAUAUAUAAAUUGGGGAUUUCUAAAUUUUAAAUCUAUAUUUUAUAAAUAUAAAAUAAAUUACCUUAGGGAUAACAGCGUAAUUUUUCUUUAUAGUUCUUAUUGAAAGAAAAGUUUGCGACCUCGAUGUUGGAUUAAAAUUAAUUUUUGGUGCAGUAGCUUAAAAAUUGGGUCUGUUCGACCUUUAAAAUUUUACAUGAUCUGAGUUUAAACCGGUGUAAACCAGGUUGGAUUCUAUCUUUAGAAAUAUAGUAUAUUUUAGUACGAAAGGACAGGAUAUAUAUUAAAUUAAUU